RNAcentral lists this ribosomal RNA (819 nucleotides) under Escherichia coli. Its description in RNAcentral is "partial 23S ribosomal RNA". It matches the Rfam family "Bacterial large subunit ribosomal RNA", at positions 418 to 1239 of the family's 2925-position model. The record is from RNAcentral. RNAcentral also lists the same sequence under 1 other name. Lineage: Bacteria; Pseudomonadati; Pseudomonadota; Gammaproteobacteria; Enterobacterales; Enterobacteriaceae.
CGGGACACGUGGUAUCCUGUCUGAAUAUGGGGGGACCAUCCUCCAAGGCUAAAUACUCCUGACUGACCGAUAGUGAACCAGUACCGUGAGGGAAAGGCGAAAAGAACCCCGGCGAGGGGAGUGAAAAAGAACCUGAAACCGUGUACGUACAAGCAGUGGGAGCCUCUUUAUGGGGUGACUGCGUACCUUUUGUAUAAUGGGUCAGCGACUUAUAUUCUGUAGCAAGGUUAACCGAAUAGGGGAGCCGAAGGGAAACCGAGUCUUAACUGGGCGUUAAGUUGCAGGGUAUAGACCCGAAACCCGGUGAUCUAGCCAUGGGCAGGUUGAAGGUUGGGUAACACUAACUGGAGGACCGAACCGACUAAUGUUGAAAAAUUAGCGGAUGACUUGUGGCUGGGGGUGAAAGGCCAAUCAAACCGGGAGAUAGCUGGUUCUCCCCGAAAGCUAUUUAGGUAGCGCCUCGUGAAUUCAUCUCCGGGGGUAGAGCACUGUUUCGGCAAGGGGGUCAUCCCGACUUACCAACCCGAUGCAAACUGCGAAUACCGGAGAAUGUUAUCACGGGAGACACACGGCGGGUGCUAACGUCCGUCGUGAAGAGGGAAACAACCCAGACCGCCAGCUAAGGUCCCAAAGUCAUGGUUAAGUGGGAAACGAUGUGGGAAGGCCCAGACAGCCAGGAUGUUGGCUUAGAAGCAGCCAUCAUUUAAAGAAAGCGUAAUAGCUCACUGGUCGAGUCGGCCUGCGCGGAAGAUGUAACGGGGCUAAACCAUGCACCGAAGCUGCGGCAGCGACACUAUGUGUUGUUGGGUAGGGGAGCGU